This is a long non-coding RNA of Nerophis ophidion (straightnose pipefish), 543 nucleotides long. RefSeq lists it as uncharacterized. The record is from RefSeq and is a predicted model, not a curated record. The transcript has 4 exons. Lineage: Eukaryota; Metazoa; Chordata; Actinopteri; Syngnathiformes; Syngnathidae.
GCUAAAGGGGGGACUUGGGGGCUUGUGUCAAACAUCAGCUGAUUCGGAGAGCGGGAAAGCAGAGGACUGGUUGUUGUGACGUCACUGGAGGAAAUAAAGUGGAUUAUCAAGGGUUCCCCGACAGAAGAUGACUUAUUUCAGUUCAGAGGUGUCAUUUUCACUGAGGGCCGCUUCUAACAUGGAAGCAUCCCAUGUUCGGGGACGGCCGGUCGGAGGAGGCAAGAGAGUCCGCAGCCGCAGAAGGAACGACGCAAGCUCUCCGCUCAUGUCUACGCUGGUACUCCAGGUACUUGGUCAGCUCGUACGUGCGCUCGAUGGAGCUCCUUUCGCCGGCCGGGCCCGGGGACGAACGCACAGCCGUCGCCAUGGCAACAACCAACAGGAAGACGCGGUGGCUUUGAUGGUCCGCGGCUAUGUAGAGAGGACGCAUACAAAGAGGACAUUAAUCGCUAUCAUGGAGCCUUGUCAGGUAUGUUGGUACCUAAAUGUAUAUUUAUACCUUUGUCAUACUUUUACAAAUAAAGGGGACCGCAAAAAAUGUCA